Long non-coding RNA from Lingula anatina, 1219 nucleotides. The record is from RefSeq and is a predicted model, not a curated record. Lineage: Eukaryota; Metazoa; Brachiopoda; Lingulata; Lingulida; Lingulidae.
AAUAUAUUUUUUUGUGUUUAAUGUUACAUUUUCCAAACUUUAUGAAUAUGAAGCAAAAUACAAUGUAUAUUUUAAACGGAGAGCUUGGACAAAAGUGUCGAUUGCAUGUCGUUUCUGUUUAACCGCCAAUUCAGGAUCGCAGCAUGCUUUCCCAACUCUGUGAAGUUAAGUGUAUUGUUUCUUGAUAAUUAAUAUUUAAAUGUGUUUAUGUUACAUUUUCCAAGUUAAUGAAUAUAAUAAAGCAAAAUACGCUACAUAUUCUAAACAGAAAGCUGUGAAUCACUGUUGGCCACUGUUUAAUAUUUUUAAUGAAUGUUUAUCUUUUUUUUUCUAGUUCACACACACAGUUUGACAGUUGUUGUACAGUGUCAUGUGUCUCCGUAGUGGCCUGCUUGAUGUGGUCAGUUUGGGAUGAAAUUUAUUGGACCUAAAGUGGAGUAGUGACAUGACUUCCCUCAGGUCACCCAUUUCCAAGAUGGGAACAGAACUGAUUGCAGUUCAAUCACCACAACUCCGAUGUGUGAAAUAGACAGGAAAUGGCAGCUGCAGGAAUAUCCUUUCAUCUCACCCAGUUGUGGAAGACACAACAAGUUUCAGGAUGAAUGGGUUGUGAAGAGCCAGAGACAUGACAGCCAUGGUAAACAGUUCACGCACAGUUUGACAGUUAUACAUUGUGACAUGUCUCUCUAGUGACCAGCUUGAUGUGGUCAGUUUGGGAUGAAAUGUAUUGGACCCAAAGUGGAGCAGUGGUCAUUACUUCCCUUGGAUGACCCAUUGCCAUGACAGUAACUGGACUGCUUGCAGGAAUCCCUGUGGCAAGAUUCAGGACAUUGUCAAAUGGUGUGUGUUAACAGCCUGUUUCCAGAUCACACUGUAAGGAGGAAUCUGCAUCUGGUAUUGGUAGUAAGGAGAAGUCUUGAAUGGGUAUAUAUUGUUUUCCAGAUGACAGUAAUAGGUAACCCUUUCCUUGCAGCAUGGAGGCUUCUUGGUGGACUGACUCUACCUGUCUGGUCAUGGCUAAUGCCUAUAGAAAAAACAGGCAGUGAAAAACAGCAUCAAGAGCAGUUCUGUCUCAUCCAUGUGUACAAUACCUGAUAUGUGGCAAGAUUUAGGACAUUGUCAAAUGGUUUGUGCUAACAGCCUGAUUCCAGAAACCCACUGUAAGGAGGAAUCUGCACCAGGAACUGUCAGAAGUGGGCCAAGGAACAGAUGAUUAGUG